CAAGGGACCCUGGGGGAGAGGGCCUUCGAUGGAUCUUCCACAGUUUUGAUUCAGCUCGUAGAAUCCUAACCUGAUCAAUGCCAUCUCUGAAUACUCAGCCACCCACACCCAGGAAAGGAUAGGAACAAGGACCAAAGAUACAGAGGUACCAUUGGGUGAAGCACUACGGAUACAAAGAAAAAGUAAAAGCAAUGUCUGGCCUCCAGGAAUUCACAUUCUAAUGGAAAGGACAACACAGACAUACCAGAAAAAUACAAAGAAGAUGGAAGAUAUCUUUAGAGGAGAGGCAUCAGCUGAGGGUACAUAGAAAAAGCCUCCUUCAGGAUGUAGCACUUAAAUGGAGUUUUUAAAGUUUUAAAUUCCAUGAGGUGGGAAUUCCAAGGGAGAGCAUUCAAAAUAUAGGGUACGGCUAGUGCAGAGAAACAGCCAGAACAUGAAAAAUCAUGUGUGACAAAGAGCAAGUAGGCCAAUAUGCCAUACUAUAGAGUAUACAAAGGGGAAUGAUCUUUUAAAAGACAUAUU
Molecule: long non-coding RNA, 522 nt
Filed under: Monodelphis domestica (gray short-tailed opossum)
Lineage: Eukaryota; Metazoa; Chordata; Mammalia; Didelphimorphia; Didelphidae
Description: lncRNA (ENSMODG00000045372.1)
Source: RNAcentral